GGUGAUAUAGCUCAGUUGGUAGAGCAAUGGACUGAAAAUCCAUGUGUCCCUGGUUCGAUUCCGGGUAUCACCACGA
Molecule: transfer RNA, 76 nt
Filed under: Fluviicola sp. XM-24bin1
Lineage: Bacteria; Pseudomonadati; Bacteroidota; Flavobacteriia; Flavobacteriales; Crocinitomicaceae
Description: tRNA-Phe
Rfam family: tRNA
About the family: Transfer RNA (tRNA) molecules are approximately 80 nucleotides in length. Their secondary structure includes four short double-helical elements and three loops (D, anti-codon, and T loops). Further hydrogen bonds mediate the characteristic L-shaped molecular structure. tRNAs have two regions of fundamental functional importance: the anti-codon, which is responsible for specific mRNA codon recognition, and the 3' end, to which the tRNAs corresponding amino acid is attached (by aminoacyl-tRNA synthetases). tRNAs cope with the degeneracy of the genetic code in two manners: having more than one tRNA (with a specific anti-codon) for a particular amino acid; and 'wobble' base-pairing, i.e. permitting non-standard base-pairing at the 3rd anti-codon position.
Source: RNAcentral